UGUCCAAAGUCAUAGCUAAUCAUAAACCCGAAGGCUGGACCCCAGGGCUGCCUCCUGCCCAAGCCCAGGCUCCUGUUUCACCAGAGGUUUUCUUUCCUUUUCCCACUCAUUCUUUACCAAAUUGGGUCUCUCCUGAUCCCCGUAGGGGAUCAAGGGCUUAUGUCAGCGGAGUCUCUCCCAUGUGAAGAAGGCCCAGGAUUGUCCCCGGGGUGUGUAACCACCAGCACACACAGGUGUACCCUCCUCGCAGUCACAGAGUCGUGCUUGCCUUCCUGGGAGGCUGGCUGCUGUAAUUGACCAUAAGCAUCUGUAGUCCUCUCGGAGGCCUCCCCAGCCCAGGCUUCUGCUGGAAUGCCAGGGCUACCUGUCCGUAGAGGGUAGUGGUACCAUUCCCCCAGAUUGGGGAAUGGGGGGAUGGGAGGUUUGGAAUUCCUUUGGCCUCUGCUGGAGGACUCUGGGCAACCCCCAGUCCAGCUGGACACCCUCCAUGACAAUCCCCAGAGCAUCUCUAGAUGAAAGGAGCCAGGAGGGAGAACCAGCUCUGUGGUGUGUGUAGGCCUGAGGGUGACAGGGCUCUCUGGUCAGGACUGUCCUUAGCAAUGCCAGGCUAAGGUGGCCUCCACGUGCAGCCACUGGCUGCUGCCUGUGGCUUCUCUCUCUGGUCCUUCCAGACGUAUUCCCAUCUUGUAGGAUGGAACAGAGACACCACUGCCCCAGAAAGAGACCAGGGCCUGGGCUCUAAUCAGCUGUGUGACCUUGGCCUUCACCCCCUCCCUGAGCCUCGGUCUCCACACGGAAACGGUCCCGCCUCCCACAUUGUUCAGAGGAUGAAGUGUGAUGCUUAAUGUAUUGUGUGUGCCAAGCACAGCCUAGUCCUUGGAGCUGAGUGAAGCAGUGUUGGCCUUGCCCUCGUAGAGUUUAUGGUCUGGUUAAUAAUUGGGACCUUGGGAGAGUUACUGACCUCUCUGGACCUCUACUUUCUCAUCUGUAAAGUUGGGAAGCUAAUAACAUCUACUUCAUUGGGUCCCUGUGGGAUUAGAUGAGGCCUUAACCUCGAGUCUGGCUCAGUAAACAUUAGCUGGCAUCAUCAUUACUAAAGGAAAGCUUCAAGGUUAGUGUUUUCCCAGAAGCCAAAGUGCAGGGAAAGGUCUCCUGCUGGAGGCAGCGCCCAGCUGUCAUCUCUGUCCAGGGCAGAGCGGAAGUUCCUGCUCUUCCUGCGGGGCAGCUCGGGCUGGCACAGUUCCCUCCCUCCUUGGCUGAGGCUCCAUCUGGGGCAUCUUGGUGGGGACCCCCUUCCUGCUGCUGCACAGUGGCCCGGUGGACUCUAUUGCUUUCCCACGUGGAGCAGGGCCUGGGAGCAAAGGUCAGCAUCCGGGGUUGGGAAAGGGUGGGGCCAUGCUGCCUCCGGGAGAGAGCUGGGCAGAAGCUCAUCACACAACUGCUGCCUCGCCAGCCUCAGGGGCUUCAUGGGGUCGCUGUCUCUCUCCCCCACUUAGAGAAGUCACAGGCUUGGUGAAGGGGGUUUGUGAUACCUUCUGAAGCACAGGCUGAGGUCUGACAGUGCCUCCGUGCACAGUCCCACCCCUUAAGCUUCUUGACCUUCAGUGGGCCUGGGGGACCCUUGGGAACCAGUGUCCUCCAGCCACCCAGGAGGCUGGGGGACCCAGCAGAGGUUGACCUGGUGCCCAGCAGCGUCUCUUCCACGGAGGGCUGAGUUGUGUCCAGGGAGCCUGGGGCCGCGGGGCCUGCUGGUGUCCCGGGCACUGGCGGCAGGGCUUUCCGAGGCUGGCGUCGUUCCCACAUCCUAGGUGUGCAGGUCAGGCAGCGGCUGCGCGUGGGAGGAGCUCUGCUGCUGAGAGUGGAUGCACAGAUUCCCAGGCAAUGGGAGAAGCAGCGCUUUUCCAUCAGCUAUGUGGCCCUGGACAGAUCACAUCCCUGGGCCUCGUUUACUCUGUGGACAAAAAGAAACUAUUAGGUCUAACCCUCACAGAGCUGUGGUAGAGGGUUAAUGAGAUGGAAGUGUUUCUUCCAGUGUUAGCCCCGAGAGUUGACCCAACUGGACAGCCAAUGAGAGCGCGUGCUGGGUGCAGGGCCC
Molecule: long non-coding RNA, 2095 nt
Organism: Pipistrellus kuhlii (Kuhl's pipistrelle)
Lineage: Eukaryota; Metazoa; Chordata; Mammalia; Chiroptera; Vespertilionidae
Exons: 4
Source: RefSeq, a predicted model, not a curated record